Molecule: ribosomal RNA, 626 nt
Filed under: Hepatozoon sp. MRA-2009-5
Lineage: Eukaryota; Apicomplexa; Hepatozoidae
Description: partial 18S ribosomal RNA
Rfam family: Eukaryotic small subunit ribosomal RNA
Source: RNAcentral
CGCCAUCAUUACUUACAUGGACAAACGAGUCCAUGGUACGUUGCCAUGCUCAUGUACUUGGCCAUGCUACACCAUUAAAACCCUUUUUAAAGUAUCAAUUGGAGGGCAAGUCUGGUGCCAGCAGCCGCGGUAAUUCCAGCUCCAAUAGCGUAUAUUAAAAUUGUUGCAGUUAUAAAGCUCGUAGUUGAAGUUCUGCUAAAAGUAGCCGGUCUGCUUUUUAUAAAAGUGGUAUCUUGGUGUGUUUUUAGCAAUGAUGUCCUUUGAAGUGUUUUUUACUUUAUUGUAAUAAAACAUGUUCAGGACUUUUACUUUGAGAAAAUUAGAGUGUUUCUAUCUUGCUGAUGCUUUGAAUACUGCAGCAUGGAAUAAUAAGAUAGGAUUUUAGUUCUACAUUAUUGGUUUUAAGAGCUAAAUUAAUGAUUGAUAGGGACAGUUGGGGGCAUUUGUAUUUAACUGUCAGAGGUGAAAUUCUUAGAUUUGUUAAAGACAAACUACNGCGAAAGCAUUUGCCAAAGAUGUUUUCAUUAAUCAAGAACGAAAGUUACGCCGCUAAGAUAGGGACAAUUGUACACACAGUCCCUUGAUCGCAAAAAAACCCCCCACAACACAAAAAAGACAGCACCAGG